Molecule: ribosomal RNA, 538 nt
Filed under: uncultured bacterium
Lineage: Bacteria
Description: partial 16S ribosomal RNA
Rfam family: Bacterial small subunit ribosomal RNA
Source: RNAcentral
UGGGGAAUUUUGGACAAUGGGGGCAACCCUGAUCCAGCAAUGCCGCGUGUGUGAAGAAGGCCUUCGGGUUGUAAAGCACUUUUGUCCGGAAAGAAAACGCCGUGGUUAAUACCCGUGGCGGAUGACGGUACCGGAAGAAUAAGCACCGGCUAACUACGUGCCAGCAGCCGCGGUAAUACGUAGGGUGCAAGCGUUAAUCGGAAUUACUGGGCGUAAAGCGUGCGCAGGCGGUCCGCUAAGACAGAUGUGAAAUCCCCGGGCUUAACCUGGGAACUGCAUUUGUGACUGGCGGGCUAGAGUAUGGCAGAGGGGGGUAGAAUUCCACGUGUAGCAGUGAAAUGCGUAGAGAUGUGGAGGAAUACCGAUGGCGAAGGCAGCCCCCUGGGCCAAUACUACGCUCAUGCACGAAAGCGUGGGGAGCAAACAGGAUUAGAUACCCUGGUAGUCCACGCCCUAAACGAUGUCAACUAGUUGUCGGGUCUUCAUUGACUUGGUAACGUAGCUAACGCGUGAAGUUGACCGCCUGGGGAGUACGGUC